UAUGGCCAUAUUAUGUUGAAACACUGUUUCCUGUACAAUUACUGAAGUUAAGCAAUGUUGAGCCUGGUUAGUACCUAGAUAGGUGACCACUUAGGAAUACCAGGUGCUAUA
Molecule: non-coding RNA, 111 nt
Organism: Acanthosepion pharaonis
Lineage: Eukaryota; Metazoa; Mollusca; Cephalopoda; Sepiida; Sepiidae
Source: the annotation of a GenBank genome assembly